UACAGAGGGGGCAAGCGUUGUUCGGAAUUACUGGGCGUAAAGGGCGCGUAGGCGGCCGCCUAAGUCAGACGUGAAAUCCCUCGGCUCAACCGGGGAACUGCGUCUGAUACUGGGUGGCUUGAAUCCGGGAGAGGGAUGCGGAAUUCCAGGUGUAGCGGUGAAAUGCGUAGAUAUCGUAAGGAAGACCAGUGGCGAAGGCGGGUCUUUGGACAGUUCCUGACGCUGAGGCACGAAGGCCAGGGGAGCAAACGGG
Molecule: ribosomal RNA, 253 nt
Filed under: uncultured bacterium
Lineage: Bacteria
Description: partial 16S ribosomal RNA
Rfam family: Bacterial small subunit ribosomal RNA
Source: RNAcentral